RNAcentral lists this ribosomal RNA (559 nucleotides) under uncultured soil bacterium. Its description in RNAcentral is "bacterial SSU rRNA". It matches the Rfam family "Bacterial small subunit ribosomal RNA", at positions 35 to 625 of the family's 1533-position model. The record is from RNAcentral.
GCUGGCGGCGCGCUUAACACAUGCAAGUCGAACGAGAAAGGGGAGCAAUCCCUGAGUAAAGUGGCGUACGGGUGAGUAACACGUGGAUGAUCUACCUCUUGGCGGGGAAUACCUCUGGGAAACCGGAGACAAUACCGCAUAAGCUCGGAAGAGGAAACCCGCAAGGGGCCGAGAGAGGAGUCCGCGGCCGAUUAGCUAGUUGGUAGGGUAAAAGCCUACCAAGGCAAAGAUCGGUAGCCGGCCUGAGAGGGCACACGGCCACACUGGCACUGAAACACGGGCCAGACUCCUACGGGAGGCAGCAGUGGGGAAUCUUGCACAAUGGGGGCAACCCUGAUGCAGCGACGCCGCGUGAGCGAUGAAGCCCUUCGGGGUGUAAAGCUCUUUCGACGGGAACGAUAAUGACGGUACCCGGAGAAGAAGCUGCGGCUAACUACGUGCCAGCAGCCCGCGGUAAUACGUAGGCAGCAAGCGUUCUUCGGAGUUACUGGGCGUAAAGAGUGCGUAGGCGGUUUACCAAGUCUGCUGUGAAAUCUCCCGGCUUAACUGGGAGGGUGCG